This is an RNA transcript of Oncorhynchus gorbuscha (pink salmon), 3656 nucleotides long. It is a transcript of the gene named thiamin pyrophosphokinase 1-like, with no coding region annotated. The record is from RefSeq and is a predicted model, not a curated record. The transcript has 4 exons. Lineage: Eukaryota; Metazoa; Chordata; Actinopteri; Salmoniformes; Salmonidae.
UCCAGGAGAUUGAACCAGUUAAUAACAGUGUUCUCUGUCCUCCAGGAGAAGGAACCACAGUGUUCUCUGUCCUCCAGGAGAAUGAACCGCAGUGUUCCCUGUCCUCCAGGAGAAUGAACCAGUUAAUAACAGUGUUCUCUGUCCUCCAGGAGAAUGAAUCAGUUAAUAACAGUGUUCUGUCCUCCAGGAGAAUGAACCAGUUAAUAGCAGUGUUCUGUCCUCCAGGAGAAUGAACCAGUUAAUAACAGUGUUCUGUCCUCCAGGAGAAUGAACCAGUUAAUAAUAGUGUUCUCUGUCCUCCAGGAGAAUGAACCACAGUGUUCUCUGUCCUCCAGGAGAAUGAACCAGUUAAUAUCAGUGUUCUGUCCUCCAGGAGAAUGAACCAGUUAAUAACAGUGUUCUCUGUCCUCUAGGAGAAUGAACCAGUUAAUAAUAGUGUUCUCUGUCCUCCAGGAGAAUGAACCACAGUGUUCUCUGUCCUCCAGGAGAAUGAACCAGUUAAUAGCAGUGUUCUGUCCUCCAGGAGAAUGAACCAGUUAAUAACAGUGUUCUCUGUCCUCUAGGAGAAUGAACCAGUUAAUAAUAGUGUUAUCUGUCCUCCAGGAGAAUGACCCAGUUAAUAACAGCGUUCUCUGUCCUCCAGGAGAAUGAACCACAGUGUUCUCUGUCCUCCAGGAGAAUGAACCAGUUAAUAACAGUGUUCUCUGUCCUCCAGGAGAAUGAACCACAGUGUUCUCUGUCCUCCAGGAGAAUGAACCAGUUAAUAAUAGUGUUCUCUGUCCUCCAGGAGAAUGAACCACAGUGUUCUCUGUCCUCCAGGAGAAUGAACCAGUUAAUAACAGUGUUCUCUGUCCUCCAGGAGAAUGAAUCACAGUGUUCUCUGUCCUCCAGGAGAAUGAACCAGUUAAUAGCAGUGUUCUGUCCUCCAGGAGAAUGAACCAGUUAAUAGCAGUGUUCUCUGUCCUCCAGGAGAAUGAACCACAGUGUUCUCUGUCCUCCAGGAGAAUGAACCAGUUAAUAACAGUGUUCUCUGUCCUCCAGGAGAAUGAACCAAUUUAACAAUGAUCAGCCGUUAUUCUCUGCAUUAUGGUAAUGAUAUUAGAGGUACAUCGCUCAUGGUGAUAAGACCCACAGUCAACUUUUCCUUCUAAUCAGAGACGGAUUUACACCUGGACAGCUGGACAAUCACUAAGUAGAGAAACUAACAACAAAAACACAUGGCCUUCCAGGAUCUGCCUGCAUAAUGUUAUGGUGACGCUAGAGAGAAUACGGUUGUAUUUAGUCUAAUGUUACUCAGAGAGAAUCACAAGCUAUGGUAAUGUCCAUCUUUGAGAAUUGUGUAACAGAUCUAGGGGCUUUGAGGUGUUUCAGGAGAUGUGCAUAACUCUACAUAAAUGAAAGGGAGAGCAGGGAGGGAAAGCGGUGUUCUUCAGAGGGUGAAGGGGGCAUAAGAUGGAGCCCACCUCACCUGGAAUGAACUACCUUUUUCAGGGCAUUCACUGGAACAUAGUGUGUGUUUGAGAGCGCUCAGAGACGCACAUUAUUCACAGAAUAAAGAGGGAGUUUUGCUGUUUUUGCCUCUCUCUGUAUCUCUCUGUUUAUCUCUCUCUGUUUGUCUGUCUCACCCCCCCCCCUCCCUCCUCCUCCUAGAAGUGUUGGUUGAUAGAGACAGCAGAUCAGGAGCUGACUGACUUCACUAAAUGUCUGGCCAUCAUGGUGGAGGAGAUCAAAAGACAACCGCUUCAGAACACUCUCAGGGAGAAGAGCUAAUGAAAGAGAGGGGAUGGCGAGAGGCAGAGCAGCAGAGCUAUAUUGAAGAGAGGUGGAUACUAUAGUGACCCUGGGUGGUCUGGCUGACAGGAAGGUUUGACCAGACCAUGGCUUCAGUAGAGACUGUACCACGCCCAUGACACAACUACCUCUGGUGUUUCUACAGGGAUGCAGUCUGGCCUACCUGCUACGGCUGCCCGAUCCAUUCCCAAACUUGAAGCCCUCUGUCCCCAGCAGGAAAACCCCAGGAAAAAGUGUUGGCUUAAGGUACAACAUCCUAUUGAGGACAUUUUAAGAUAAAUUAAGUUUGUAUUUAGAUGUAGAGUUAAUGAAUAGAAGCAUAUACAAGCAAUCAGUUACAUGUCAAUUACAGUCAUAUGGAAACGCUUGGGCUCCCCUCUGAGGCUGCAUAAUAUUUCUGUCGUCACAGAAAAUGAUCACAGUGGCAUGCCAUUCAUUUUCCAAUAAAAGCUGAGUACUGGGGUAUUGUCCAGAAUUUUUUUUUAGUGUAGCAAUAUUAAGUUGUAUGAAAUUAAAUCAGAUGUGAAAAAUAGGCUCUGCAAAAAUGUGGGCACCCUUGUCAUUCUGCUGAUUUGAAUACCUGUAACUACUAAGCACUGAUUAAUUGGAUCACACAAUUGCUUUGGUGAGCUCAUUAAGCCUUCAACUUCAUAGACAAGUGCAUCCAAUCAUGAGAAAAGGUAUUUAAGGUGGACAAUUGCAAGUUGUUGUUCUCUUUGACUCUCCUCUGAAGAGUGGCAACAUGGGGGGCCUCAAAACAACUCUCAAAUGACCUGAAAACAGAGAUUGUUCAACAUUAUGGUUUAGAGGAAGGCUACAAAAAGCUAUCGAAGAGAUUUAAACUGUCAGUGUCCACUGUGAGGAACAUAGUGAGGAAAUGGAAGACCACAGGCACAGUUCUUGUUAAGGCCAGAAGUGGCAGGCCAAGUAAAAUAUCAGAGAGGCAAAGACGAAGGAUGGUGAGAACGGUCAAAAUCAGCCAACAGACCACCUCUAAAGACCUACAACAUCAUCUUGCUGCAGACGGUGUCACUGUGCAUCGUUCAACAAUUCAGCGCACUUUGCACAAGGAGAAGCUGUAUGGGAGAGUGAUGCGGAAGAAGCCUUUUCUGCACACACGCCACAAACAGAGUCGCUUGAGGUAUGCAAACACACAUUUGGACAAGCCAGCUUCCUUUUGGAAUAAGUUGCUGUGGACUGAUGAAACAAUUAUUGAGUUACUUGGUCAUAACAAGGGACGUUAUGCAUGGCGGUAAAAGAACACAGCGUUCCAAGAAAAACACUUGCUACCCACAGUAAAAUGGGGGUUCCAUCAUGCUGUGGGGCUGUGUGGCCAGUGCCGGUACUGGGAAUCUUGUUCAAGUUGAGGGUCGCAUGGAUUCCACUCAAUAUCAGCAGAUUCUUGGGAAUAAUGUUGAAGAAUGAGUCACAAAGUGGAAGAUACACCGGGGCUGGAUAUUUCAACAAGACGACAACCCAAAACACUGCUCAAAAUCUACCCGGGCAUUUAUGCAGAGGAACAAGUACAAUGUUCUGGAAUGGCCAUUUCAGUCCCCAGACCUGAAUAUCAUUGAGAAUCUGUGGGAUGAUCUGAAGCGGGCUUGUCCAUGCUCGGCAACCAUCAAACCGAACUGAACUGGAGAUGUUUUGUGAGGAAGAAGGGUCCAUAAUACCUUCAUCCAGAAUCCAGACACUCAUUAGAGGCUAUGGGAAGUGUCUAGAGGCUGUUAUUUUAGCAAAAGGAGGCUCUACUAAAUAUUGAUGUGGUUUUUCUAUUGGGGUGCCCAAAUUUAUGCACCUGUCUAAUUUUGUUUUGAUGCAUAUUGCACAUUUUCUGUUAAUCCAAUAAACCUCAUUUCACUACU